This 107-nucleotide small nuclear RNA is filed under the name Peromyscus maniculatus bairdii (prairie deer mouse). Lineage: Eukaryota; Metazoa; Chordata; Mammalia; Rodentia; Cricetidae. The record is from RNAcentral.
AUGCUUGCUUUGGCAGCACGUAUACUAAACAUGGAGUGACACAGAGAAGAUUAGCAUGGCCCCUGUGCAGGGAUGACACACACGUUGGUGAAGCAUUCCAUAGUUUU